Molecule: ribosomal RNA, 484 nt
Filed under: uncultured bacterium
Lineage: Bacteria
Description: partial 16S ribosomal RNA
Rfam family: Bacterial small subunit ribosomal RNA
Source: RNAcentral
AUUGAACGCUGGCGGCAGGCCUAACACAUGCAAGUCGAGCGGAUGAAGGGUGCUUGCUCCUGGAUUCAGCGGCGGACGGGUGAGUAAUGCCUAGGAAUCUGCCUGGUAGUGGGGGAUAACGUCCGGAAACGGGCGCUAAUACCGCAUACGUCCUGAGGGAGAAAGUGGGGGAUCUUCGGACCUCACGCUAUCAGAUGAGCCUAGGUCGGAUUAGCUAGUUGGUGGGGUAAAGGCCUACCAAGGCGACGAUCCGUAACUGGUCUGAGAGGAUGAUCAGUCACACUGGAACUGAGACACGGUCCAGACUCCUACGGGAGGCAGCAGUGGGGAAUAUUGGACAAUGGGCGAAAGCCUGAUCCAGCCAUGCCGCGUGUGUGAAGAAGGUCUUCGGAUUGUAAAGCCCUUUAAGUUGGGAGGAAGGGCAGUAAGUUAAUACCUUGCUGUUUUGACGUUACCAACAGAAUAAGCACCGGCUAACUUCGUG